This 810-nucleotide ribosomal RNA is filed under the name uncultured archaeon. RNAcentral's name for it is "bacterial SSU rRNA". It matches the Rfam family "Archaeal small subunit ribosomal RNA", at positions 1 to 792 of the family's 1478-position model. The record is from RNAcentral.
UUCCGGUUGAUCCUGCCGGACCCCACUGCUAUCGAGAUGGGACUAAGGUAUGCUAGUCGAACGACCAGAACUAUGUCUGGAAGUGGCACACUGCUCAGUAACACGUAGCUAACCUACCCUUAGGACGUGGAUACCCCCGAGAAAUUGGGGUUAAUCCGCGAUAGGUGUAAUGUCCUGGAAUGGUAUUACGCCUAAAGGUGUAUCAUACAUGUUUGAUAUACGCCUAAGGAUGGGGCUGCGGCCGAUCAGGCUGUUGGUGAGGUAAUGGCUCACCAAACCUUUGACCGGUACGGGCCAUGAGAGUGGUAGCCCGGAGAUGGACACUGAGACAAGGGUCCAGGCCCUAAGGGGCGCAGCAACCGCGAAACCUCCACAAUGCACUCACGUGCGAUGGGGCUAUCUCGAGUGCCACCUGAUGAAGGUGGCUUUUCCUAGGUCUUCAAAGCCUUGGGAAUAAGAGGGGGGCAAGACUGGUGUCAGCCGCCGCGGUAACACCAGCCCCUCGAGUGGUGGGGAUGAUUAUUUGGCCUAAAGCGUCCGUAGCCGGCCGAGCAAGUCUUCCGUUAAAUCCAGCGUCUCAAGCGUUGGACUGCGGGAGAUACUACACGGCUAGAGAGUGGGAGAGGUCAGCGGUAUUCUGGGGGUAGGGGCGAAAUCCUUUGAUCCCCGGAGGACCACCAGUGGCGAAGGCUGCUGACUAGAACACGUCUGACGGUCAGGGACGAAAGCUGGGGUAGCGAACCGGAUUAGAUACCCGGGUAGUCCCAGCCGUAAACGAUGCAUGCUAGGUGUUGGGUUGGCCACGAGCCA